UUCCCGGUUGAUCCUGCCGGACCCCACUGCUAUCGGGAUAGGACUAAGACAUGCUAGUCAAGCGCUCGCCAGCCAAAGGUGAGUGCGGCGCACAGCUCAGUAACACGUGGCUAACCUGCCCUUGGGACAGGGACACCCCCGGGAAACUGGGGUUAAUCCCUGAUAGGUGAAGAACUCCGGAAUGAAUCUUCGCCCAAAAGACGCUUUCGCUAUGCUCGUGGGCGCCGCCCAAGGAUGGGGCCGCGACCGAUCAGGUAGUUGGUGAGGCAACGGCUCACCAAGCCUUUUACCGGUGCGGGCCGUGGGAGCGGGAGCCCGGAGAUGGGCACUGAGACAAGGGCCCAGGCCCUACGGGGCGCAGCAGUCGCGAAAACUUUGCAAUACACGAAAGUGUGACAGGGCUAUCCCGAGUGCCAUCCGCUGAGGAAGGCUUUUACCCAGUGUAGAAAGCUGGGGGAAUAAGGAGAGGGCAAGACUGGUGUCAGCCGCCGCGGUAAUACCAGCUCUCCGAGUGGUGUGGAUGUUUAUUGGGCCUAAAGCAUCCGUAGCUGGCUAGGCAAGUCCCCUGUUAAAUCCACCGAUUCAAUCGUUGGAGUGCGGGGGAUACUGCUUGGCUAGGGGGCGGGAGAGGCCGACGGUAUUUUCGGGGUAGGGGUGAAAUCCUAUAAUCCCGGGAAGACCACCAGUGGCGAAGGCUGUCGGCUAGAACGCGCCCGACGGUGAGGGAUGAAAGCUGGGGGAGCGAACCGGAUUAGAUACCCGGGUAGUCCCAGCUGUAAACGAUGCAGGCUAGGUGUCUGGGCGGCUACGCGCCGCUCUAGUGCCGCAAGGAAGCUGUUAAGCCUGCCGCCUGGGGAGUACGAUCGCAAGAUUGAAACUUAAAGGAAUUGGCGGGGGAGCACCACAAGGGGUGAAGCUUGCGGUUUAAUUGGAGUCAACGCCGGA
RNAcentral lists this ribosomal RNA (945 nucleotides) under uncultured archaeon. Its description in RNAcentral is "bacterial SSU rRNA". It matches the Rfam family "Archaeal small subunit ribosomal RNA", at positions 1 to 922 of the family's 1478-position model. The record is from RNAcentral.